AAUGCGAUAAGUAAUAUGAAUUGCAGAAUUCAGUGAAUCAUCGAAUCUUUGAACGCACCUUGCGCUCCUUGGUAUUCCUUGGAGCAUGUCUGUUUGAGUAUCAUGAAAUCUUCAAAGUAAAUCUUUUGUUAACUCAAUUGGUUUCUACUUUGGUAUUGGAGGUCUUUGCAGCUUCACACCUGCUCCUCUUUGUUCAUUAGCUGGAUCUCAGUGUUAUGCUUGGUUCCACUCGGCGUGAUAAGUUAUCUAUCGCUGAGGACACUGUAAAAGGUGGCCAAGGUAAAUGCAGAUGAACCGCUUCUAAUAGUCCAUUGACUUGGACAAUACUUUUAUGAUCUGAUCUCAAAUCAGGUAGGACUACCCGCUGAACUUAAGC
RNAcentral lists this unclassified non-coding RNA (376 nucleotides) under plant metagenome. RNAcentral's name for it is "partial contains 5.8S ribosomal RNA, internal transcribed spacer 2, and large subunit ribosomal RNA". The stretch from base 1 to 103 matches the Rfam family "5.8S ribosomal RNA", at positions 52 to 154 of the family's 154-position model. The record is from RNAcentral.